GCCAGGAAAUUCUGAAGGUGAAUAUACCAGCUCUGAAAUCCUCCAAAUAUAUUUUUGGUUACUAACCCUAUUCUUCAUCUGGAAUCAUGUGGCUGUUUAUCAUCCUCAUCUCACUUUUAAGAGGAAGCACGGGUCAAUUGGUCAACCAAACCUCUGGCAUUGUGACUGUUACUGAAGGACAAUCUAUUUCUCUCAGAUGUUCCUAUGAAGCAGCGUACAGUGGCAAUAAUUACCCAUCCUGGUAUAUUCAGCUUCCUGGUCAGCCUCUGGAGAUCUUGUUGGAUGAAAUUGACAACAAGGCUCCAGGUUUCCAGGCUACUCACAAUAAAACCCGUAAAAAGGGGGCUUUCAACAUGCAGAAACAAGCCAUCCAGCUGGAGGACUCUGCUGUCUACUUCUGUGCCUUCAGUGAGAAAGAGUGAGAGGAAGCAGAAGGGGAGCCAAUCAAAAACAGGAGAAAAAGUAUUAAGAGCAGAGAACCAGGGGAUUUUGCUAUUGUCCAUUGAUUCACUUAACAACAACGAUUCUUUCAGACUCACAUUUCUUAUUAUGAAGUGUGGGAAGCCCCCUCUCCCCCUAUCUAGUCCAACCCCCUGCUCACACAGGAAUUAUUAUUAUUAUUUGAUGGAUUGGCAGCUAGAUACUGGUUUCUUAAAUGAAAAGCAGCAUCAGCUUAAGAAGAAAUAUGAGAAUUUCCUACUCUUUUUUGAGCAGGAAAAUGCUUAGAGAAUUCUCUUGUUUUCUCUCUACCUUUUCUCUACUGCUUGCAAGGUAGACCAGACAAGAAGUACACCUGGAUGAACUAAUUCUACUUUAUUGUAAGAUUACAGAAUCUUCAAGUCUGAAAGUUCAUUUCUCCUUCCUGGUUUUACUCUGCAAGAAAAUAGGGAGCGUUCCUUCCCUUCAACAGUGGGAUCCUUCCUUCAAACCAGCUACUAUGAUGAAAGAAUAUCUAACCACAGCUUCUAGCUUUUCAGCUGGCAUUCGUGUCCAUUUUCCAAAAAGAACCUAGACUAUUUUAUUGUAUUGGCAUCCUAUGUGUGGAUGCAAGUAAUAUGCCUCCAUUGGCAGAUGGAAAUUUUGUCAGUAAAUUUUCUAAGUGCCAACAAAGUUUACUUACUAAGUAAAUGUCUUGGUAAACACCUGGCGUACCAUAGACAGGUUAUGCCAUAAUUUUUUCCAGAUCCUGAAUUAUAAUGAUUGAAUUAUUAUUAUUUGAUGGAUUAACAGCUAGGUUCUCGUUCCUUAGAUGAAAAAAGCAGGAUUAGAUUAAGUACGAACAUGAAAAUUUAUCCCUAUUUUUUCAGAAGCAGAAUUCUUAGGAAAGUCUCUUAUAUUUCACUUCCUUUUGGCUACUGCCUUGCAAGGUGGGCCAGACAAGAAGUACACCUGGAUGAACCUAUAUUCUACUUUAUUGUAAGAUUACAGAAUCUUCAAGUCUGAAAGUUCAUUUCUCCUUCCUGGUCUUUACUCUGGGAGAAAACAGGGAGAGUUCAUUUCCUUCAGCACUGGGAUCCUUCUUUCAAACCAUCUGCCUUCUCACACUUACUUGAAAACACAGGGUGGAACUGAGAUGUAGAAAGUCAGAUAAUCUUUCAGAAUAUCUUGGACUAGAGGUUCCUCGGCAUCUGAUACCUAGAAGAAUGACCAUCUGGCCUGGGAUAAGAGCAGAUGUUACCUCAACAUCUGGAUGCACUGGUCUCCAAAAUCAUGGCAGAGAAUGUUUUCAUAUCAUUGAAGGGAUGGUACUGUGAGUUGUCCAUCCGAAAGCACCUUGAACAUUAGGGUUCAUCUUUACAUAUUAAUCAUUUCAGACUCUAAAAUGAUUCUUUCCAACUCACAUUUUAUAUUACCCUCCCCCUCCUCUUAUCUCAGUUCUCUGUUCUUCCACCUGGUUAAUUUCUGUUUUCACCUGUUGCUUCUUGUCCUGCCUUCAGGCGUCUUUGAAAAUAGCUUGACUCCCUCUUCUUUGUGGCAGCCCCUGAGA
Molecule: non-coding RNA, 1987 nt
Organism: Crotalus tigris (Tiger rattlesnake)
Lineage: Eukaryota; Metazoa; Chordata; Lepidosauria; Squamata; Viperidae
Source: the annotation of a RefSeq genome assembly